GCACAGAGAGCUUGCUCUUGGGUGACGAGUGGCGGACGGGUGAGUAAUGUCUGGGAAACUGCCCGAUGGAGGGGGAUAACUACUGGAAACGGUAGCUAAUACCGCAUAACGUCUACGGACCAAAGUGGGGGACCUUCGGGCCUCACACCAUCGGAUGUGCCCAGAUGGGAU
This 171-nucleotide ribosomal RNA is filed under the name Erwinia amylovora. RNAcentral's name for it is "partial 16S ribosomal RNA". It matches the Rfam family "Bacterial small subunit ribosomal RNA", at positions 69 to 241 of the family's 1533-position model. Lineage: Bacteria; Pseudomonadati; Pseudomonadota; Gammaproteobacteria; Enterobacterales; Erwiniaceae. The record is from RNAcentral.